RNAcentral lists this ribosomal RNA (170 nucleotides) under Etroplus suratensis. RNAcentral's name for it is "partial small subunit ribosomal RNA". The record is from RNAcentral. Lineage: Eukaryota; Metazoa; Chordata; Actinopteri; Cichliformes; Cichlidae.
CACCGCGGUUAUACGAGAGGCCCAAGUUGAUAGUUCUCGGCGUAAAGGGUGGUUAAGAUUGUCCCUCAAACUAAAGCCGAACGCUCUCAGAACUGUUAUACGCUCCCGAGAGUAAGAAGCCCCGCUACGAAAGUGGCUUUACUCUUUCUGACCCCACGAAAGCUGUGAAA